AUUGAACGCUGGCGGCAGGCCUAACACAUGCAAGUCGAACGGUAACAGGAAGCAGCUUGCUGCUUUGCUGACGAGUGGCGGACGGGUGAGUAAUGUCUGGGAAACUGCCCGAUGGAGGGGGAUAACUACUGGAAACGGUAGCUAAUACCGCAUAACGUCGCAAGACCAAAGAGGGGGACCUUAGGGCCUCUUGCCAUCGGAUGUGCCCAGAUGGGAUUAGCUAGUAGGUGGGGUAACGGCUCACCUAGGCGACGAUCCCUAGCUGGUCUGAGAGGAUGACCAGCCACACUGGAACUGAGACACGGUCCAGACUCCUACGGGAGGCAGCAGUGGGGAAUAUUGAACAAUGGGCGCAAGCCUGAUGCAGCCAUGCCGCGUGUAUGAAGAAGGCCUUCGGGUUGUAAAGUACUUUCAGCGGGGAGGAAGGGAGUAAAGUUAAUACCUUUGCUCAUUGACGUUACCCGCAGAAGAAGCACCGGCUAACUCCGUG
This 490-nucleotide ribosomal RNA is filed under the name uncultured bacterium. Its description in RNAcentral is "partial 16S ribosomal RNA". It matches the Rfam family "Bacterial small subunit ribosomal RNA", at positions 30 to 507 of the family's 1533-position model. The record is from RNAcentral.